CUGGCAUUGUUUUCUUUAAUCAUUUUUAACAAGCAUUUUAUGUCUUUUUAAUGGCAUUUAAAAAUCACAUCAACAUGGAACAUCACUGCUCACAUCUUUCUGGGAUAUAAACUUAUUUCAUAUCUGUACUUUGUUAAGAUUUUAAACUAAUUUUUCCAAUUGCCCAUAUAAACAUCGUUACACCUCUGUCAGAACACAAAACCUGCACAUUUUAAUUUUGUAUAAUGUUCAUAAAUUCAUCACUUAUGUAGUUCAUCAGAGCAAUAUCAGAACAAUAUCAAACUCGAAUACAUUUCAGCAACUUAAAUUGUAAUUUCAAGUUAAAAUUUUUUACUUGCCUUUGUUAACUACUCCAAAGGGAAGCUUAGUCUACACUACAGCUAGAAUUUAAAAUAUCCCUGC
RNAcentral lists this long non-coding RNA (402 nucleotides) under Bos taurus (domestic cattle). RNAcentral's name for it is "long non-coding RNA NONBTAT011650". Lineage: Eukaryota; Metazoa; Chordata; Mammalia; Artiodactyla; Bovidae. The record is from RNAcentral.